GAAGCGUCUGGAAAGGCGCGCGAUACAGGGUGACAGCCCCGUACACAAAAGCGCAUGUGUUGUGAGCUCGAUGAGUAGGGCGGGACACGUGGUAUCCUGUCUGAAUAUGGGGGGACCAUCCUCCAAGGCUAAAUACUCCUGACUGACCGAUAGUGAACCAGUACCGUGAGGGAAAGGCGAAAAGAACCCCGGCGAGGGGAGUGAAAAAGAACCUGAAACCGUGUACGUACAAGCAGUGGGAGCACAGGUUUACCUGUGUGACUGCGUACCUUUUGUAUAAUGGGUCAGCGACUUAUAUUCUGUAGCAAGGUUAACCGAAUAGGGGAGCCGGAGGGAAACCGAGUCUUAACCGGGCGUUAAGUUGCAGGGUAUAGACCCGAAACCCGGUGAUCUAGCCAUGGGCAGGUUGAAGGUUGGGUAACACUAACUGGAGGACCGAACCGACUAAUGUUGAAAAAUUAGCGGAUGACCUGUGGCUGGGGGUGAAAGGCCAAUCAAACCGGGAGAUAGCUGGUUCUCCCCGAAAGCUAUUUAGGUAGCGCCUCGUGAAUUCAUCUCCGGGGGUAGAGCACUGUUUCGGCUAGGGGGCCAUCCCGGCUUACCAACCCGAUGCAAACUGCGAAUACCGGAGAAUGUUAUCACGGGAGACACACGGCGGGUGCUAACGUCCGUCGUGAAGAGGGAAACAACCCAGACCGCCAGCUAAGGUCCCAAAGUCAUGGUUAAGUGGGAAACGAUGUGGGAAGGCCCAGACAGCCAGGAUGUUGGCUUAGAAGCAGCCAUCAUUUAAAGAAAGCGUAAUAGCUCACUGGUCGAGUCGGCCUGCGCGGAAGAUGUAACGGGGCUAAACCAUGCACCGAAGCUGCGGCAGCGACGCUUAUGCGUUGUUGGGUAGGGGAGCGUUCUGUAAGCCUGUGAAGGUGUGUCGUGAGGCAUGCUGGAGGUAUCAGAAGUGCGAAUGCUGACAUAAGUAACGAUAAAGCGGGUGAAAAGCCCGCUCGCCGGAAGACCAAGGGUUCCUGUCCAACGUUAAUCGGGGCAGGGUGAGUCGACCCCUAAGGCGAGGCCGAAAGGCGUAGUCGAUGGGAAACGGGUUAAUAUUCCCGUACUUGGUGUUACUGCGAAGGGGGGACGGAGAAGGCUAUGUUGGCCGGGCGACGGUUGUCCCGGUUUAAGCGUGUAGGUGUGUGUUCCAGGUAAAUCCGGUUCACUUUAACACUGAGGCGUGAUGACGAGGCACUACGGUGCUGAAGCAACAAAUGCCCUGCUUCCAGGAAAAGCCUCUAAGCAUCAGGUAACAUCAAAUCGUACCCCAAACCGACACAGGUGGUCAGGUAGAGAAUACCAAGGCGCUUGAGAGAACUCGGGUGAAGGAACUAGGCAAAAUGGUGCCGUAACUUCGGGAGAAGGCACGCUGACAC
This 1421-nucleotide ribosomal RNA is filed under the name Salmonella enterica subsp. enterica serovar Paratyphi B var. L(+) tartrate +. RNAcentral describes it as "partial 23S ribosomal RNA". It matches the Rfam family "Bacterial large subunit ribosomal RNA", at positions 335 to 1757 of the family's 2925-position model. The record is from RNAcentral. Lineage: Bacteria; Pseudomonadati; Pseudomonadota; Gammaproteobacteria; Enterobacterales; Enterobacteriaceae.